UAGGGAAUCUUCCACAAUGGGCGCAAGCCUGAUGGAGCAACACCGCGUGAGUGAAGAAGGGUUUCGGCUCGCAAAGCUCUGUUGUUAAAGAAGAACACGUAUGAGAGUAACUGUUCAUACGUUGACGGUAUUUAACCAGAAAGUCACGGCUAACUACGUGCCAGCAGCCGCGGUAAUACGUAGGUGGCAAGCGUUAUCCGGAUUUAUUGGGCGUAAAGAGAGUGCAGGCGGUUUUCUAAGUCUGAUGUGAAAGCCUUCGGCUUAACCGGAGAAGUGCAUCGGAAACUGGAUAACUUGAGUGCAGAAGAGGGUAGUGGAACUCCAUGUGUAGCGGUGGAAUGCGUAGAUAUAUGGAAGAACACCAGUGGCGAAGGCGGCUACCUGGUCUGCAACUGACGCUGAGACUCGAAAGCAUGGGUAGCGAACAGGAUUAGAUACCCUGGUAGUCCAUGCCGUAAACGAUGAGUGCUAGGUGUUGGAGGGUUUCCGCCCUUCAGUGCCGGAGCUAACGCAUUAAGCACUCCGCCUGGGGAGUACGACCGCAAGGUUG
Molecule: ribosomal RNA, 550 nt
Filed under: uncultured bacterium
Lineage: Bacteria
Description: bacterial SSU rRNA
Rfam family: Bacterial small subunit ribosomal RNA
Source: RNAcentral